AUGAACGCUGGCGGCGUGCCUAAUACCUGCAAGUCGAGCGAACAGGCGAGGAGCUUGCUCCUCUGACGUUAGCGGCGGACGGGUGAGUAACACGUGGAUAACCUACCUAUAAGACUGGGAUAACUUCGGGAAACCGGAGCUAAUACCGGAUAAUAUAUUGAACCGCAUGGUUCAAUAGUGAAAGACGGUUUUGCUGUCACUUAUAGAUGGAUCCGCGCCGCAUUAGCUAGUUGGUAAGGUAACGGCUUACCAAGGCAACGAUGCGUAGCCGACCUGAGAGGGUGAUCGGCCACACUGGAACUGAGACACGGUCCAGACUCCUACGGGAGGCAGCAGUAGGGAAUCUUCCGCAAUGGGCGAAAGCCUGACGGAGCAACGCCGCGUGAGUGAUGAAGGUCUUCGGAUCGUAAAACUCUGUUAUUAGGGAAGAACAAAUGUGUAAGUAACUAUGCACGUCUUGACGGUACCUAAUCAGAAAGCCACGGCUAACUACGUG
RNAcentral lists this ribosomal RNA (496 nucleotides) under uncultured bacterium. Its description in RNAcentral is "partial 16S ribosomal RNA". It matches the Rfam family "Bacterial small subunit ribosomal RNA", at positions 29 to 507 of the family's 1533-position model. The record is from RNAcentral.